RNAcentral lists this ribosomal RNA (263 nucleotides) under uncultured Methanothermobacter sp. RNAcentral describes it as "partial 16S ribosomal RNA". It matches the Rfam family "Archaeal small subunit ribosomal RNA", at positions 447 to 708 of the family's 1478-position model. The record is from RNAcentral. Lineage: Archaea; Methanobacteriati; Methanobacteriota; Methanobacteria; Methanobacteriales; Methanobacteriaceae.
CAAGACCGGUGCCAGCCGCCGCGGUAACACCGGCAGCUCAAGUGGUAGCCGCUUUUAUUGGGCCUAAAGCGUCCGUAGCCGGUCUGAUAAGUCUCUGGUGAAAUCCCACAGCUUAACUGUGGGAAUUGCUGGAGAUACUAUCAUGACUCGAGGUCGGGAGAGGCUGGAGGUACUCCCAGGGUAGGGGUGAAAUCCUGUAAUCCUGGGAGGACCACCUGUGGCGAAGGCGUCCAGCUGGAACGAACCUGACGGUGAGGGACGAA